Molecule: ribosomal RNA, 546 nt
Filed under: Fusarium oxysporum f. sp. cepae
Lineage: Eukaryota; Fungi; Ascomycota; Sordariomycetes; Hypocreales; Nectriaceae
Description: eukaryotic LSU rRNA
Rfam family: 5.8S ribosomal RNA (bases 181-334)
Source: RNAcentral
CUUCCGUUGGUGAACCAGCGGAGGGAUCAUUACCGAGUUUACAACUCCCAAACCCCUGUGAACAUACCACUUGUUGCCUCGGCGGAUCAGCCCGCUCCCGGUAAAACGGGACGGCCCGCCAGAGGACCCCUAAACUCUGUUUCUAUAUGUAACUUCUGAGUAAAACCAUAAAUAAAUCAAAACUUUCAACAACGGAUCUCUUGGUUCUGGCAUCGAUGAAGAACGCAGCAAAAUGCGAUAAGUAAUGUGAAUUGCAGAAUUCAGUGAAUCAUCGAAUCUUUGAACGCACAUUGCGCCCGCCAGUAUUCUGGCGGGCAUGCCUGUUCGAGCGUCAUUUCAACCCUCAAGCACAGCUUGGUGUUGGGACUCGCGUUAAUUCGCGUUCCUCAAAUUGAUUGGCGGUCACGUCGAGCUUCCAUAGCGUAGUAGUAAAACCCUCGUUACUGGUAAUCGUCGCGGCCACGCCGUUAAACCCCAACUUCUGAAUGUUGACCUCGGAUCAGGUAGGAAUACCCGCUGAACUUAAGCAUAUCAUUAAGCGGAGGA